Molecule: small nuclear RNA, 107 nt
Filed under: Bos indicus x Bos taurus (hybrid cattle)
Lineage: Eukaryota; Metazoa; Chordata; Mammalia; Artiodactyla; Bovidae
Source: RNAcentral
GUGCUUGCUUUGGCAGCACAUAUACUAAAAUUGGAACGAUAUAGAGAAGAUUAGCAUGGCCCCUGUGCAAGGAUGACAUGCAAAUUCCUGAAGUGUUCCAUAUUUUU